RNAcentral lists this ribosomal RNA (114 nucleotides) under uncultured bacterium. RNAcentral describes it as "partial 16S ribosomal RNA". It matches the Rfam family "Bacterial small subunit ribosomal RNA", at positions 1369 to 1482 of the family's 1533-position model. The record is from RNAcentral.
CGUUCCCGGGUCUUGUACACACCGCCCGUCACACCACGAAAGUUUGUAACACCCAAAGUCGGUGGGGUAACCGCAAGGAGCUAGCCGCCUAAGGUGGGACAGAUGAUUGGGGUG